UACGGGGGGGGCAAGCGUUGUUCGGAAUUACUGGGCGUAAAGGGCUCGUAGGCGGCCAACUAAGUCAGACGUGAAAUCCCUCGGCUUAACCGGGGAACUGCGUCUGAUACUGGAUGGCUUGAGAUUGGGAGAGGGAUGCGGAAUUCCUGGUGUAGCGGUGAAAUGCGCAGAUAUCAGGAGGAACACCGGUGGCGAAGGCGGGUCUCUGGGCAACAACUGACGCUGAGGAGCGAAAGCGUGGGGAGCGAACAGG
This 253-nucleotide ribosomal RNA is filed under the name uncultured bacterium. Its description in RNAcentral is "partial 16S ribosomal RNA". It matches the Rfam family "Bacterial small subunit ribosomal RNA", at positions 524 to 776 of the family's 1533-position model. The record is from RNAcentral.